AUGGGGUGGGGGGUGGGGAGGAGCAGGAUGAGGAAGGGUCACGGCACCAGCGGGUUGAGGGGGAGGUUCAGAGGCAGCGGCACUCCCAGAAGGUUUCCUGGUGGGGACACACAGUCAGGAUCAUCUGUGGUUCCUCCAUCCGUCUGUCCCCCAUCCGUGGUUUGUCCGUCCAUCCAUCCACCAUCCAUGGUUCCUCCAAUCAUCCAUCCAUUUCUCCAUCCACCAUCCAUGGUUCCUCCAAUCAUCCCUCCAUUUCUCCAUUCACCAUCCGUGGUUCCUCCAUCCAUCCAUCCACCCACCAUCCAUGGUUCCUCCAACCAUCCAUCCAUCCACCAUCUAUGGUUUCUCCAUCCAUCCAUCCAUUUAUCUACCAUCUAUGGUUCCUCCAACCAUCCAUCCAUUUCACCAUUUACCAUCCGUGGUUUCUCCAUCCAUCCAUCCAUCCAUGGUUCCUCCAUCCAUCCACUCUUCCACCAUCUAUGGUUCCUCUAUCCUUCCACCAUCUAUGGUUCCUCUGUCCUUCCACCAUCUCUGAUUUCUCCAUCCGUCCUUUCACCGUCCGUGGUUCCUCCAUCCAUCCCUCCAUUUCUCCAUCCACCAUCCAUGGUUCCUCCAUCCAUCCUUCCACUGUACAUGGUUCCUCCAUCCAUCCAUCCAUCCAUCCAUCCAUCCAUCCAUCCAUCCAUCCAUCCAUUUCUCAUCCACCAUCUGUGGUUCCUCCAUCCAUCCAUCCGUUCAUCCAUCCACCAUCCGUGGUUCCUCCAUCCAUCCUUCCACCAUCCAUGGUUUCUCCAUCCAUCCAUCCAUCCAUCCUUCCACCAUCCACGGUUCCUCUGUCUAUUCAUCCAUUUCUCCAUCUACCAUCCAUGGUUCCUCCAUCCAUCCAUCCAUCCAUCCACCCAUCCACCAUCCAUGGUUCCUCUGUCAUCCAUCCGUCCACCAUCCAUGGUUUCUCCAUCCAUCCAUCCAUUUAUUUACCAUCUAUGGUUCCUCCAACCAUCCGUCCAUUUCUCCAUCCACCAUCUGUGGUUCCUCCAUCCAUCCAUCCAUCCAUCCAUCCAUCCAUUUUUCCAUGUACUAUCUAUGGUUACUCCAUCCAUCCAUCCAUCUACCAUCUAUGGUUCCUCUAUCCAUCCUUCCAGCAUCUGUGGUUCCUCCAUCCAUCCUUCCACCAUCCAUGGUUCCUCCGACCAUCCAUCCGUCCUUCCACCAUCUGUGGUUC
Molecule: long non-coding RNA, 1222 nt
Filed under: Phasianus colchicus (ring-necked pheasant)
Lineage: Eukaryota; Metazoa; Chordata; Aves; Galliformes; Phasianidae
Description: lncRNA (ENSPCLG00000017249.1)
Source: RNAcentral